CUCUUUCACCAAAACAGACGCUCCCCUUUCACCUCUCCAUUGUCGCUUUCAAUCUCUGCCAUGGCAGAGCUCUCUCUUGGCUUUUUUCCUCCAUUUUUGGCCAAGUCUUGACCUUUAAAUCCCUACGCGCCAGAGCGUAUCUCACCAUUUCAGGUAUAACCUGAAGCUUAUCACUGAAGAAUCACGUGAAGAUUGAAUCCAUACAAAAGGCUUCAACGUUAAAAUUCAAACGGAUGCGUUUGACUUCUUUUGAAAUCUGAAUUUCAAAUUCCCGCUCAAAGGAACCAAGAACCCUAAUUUUACACCUAUAAAUACCAGACUUUGUGGCUAUUUUCAGCACCUUUUGGACCGCCCCUUCUAUCUCCCUUAACCCUCACUGUUUGGCUAACUAUUCAUAGUUUAUCUCCCUCCUUACUCUCUUAAAAUCUAGCUUUAAGUUUCUCUGCCUUUUGACCUUUAUUUAGUCUAUAGCCUUGCCAAAGCUUUCAUUUUUAUUUGUGUCGGCAUUUGACGAUCUUCCAAAAGAGUUGAGCCAAAGCCGGAGAUAGAUCUUCUUGACGACGCCCCAUUCACUGCCCACAAAAAGGUCAGCGACUUUAAAAUUUCUUCUUCUUGUUUUCUUCUGCUAGACUUGAAGUAAAUGUUUCACUUUGGUUUUAAAAAACGUGUGUUAUAGUUUAUUUUCCAUGAAGAAAGUGUGAUUUGAAGUCUGUCUGUGCAUAGAAAUCAUAUGUAGGGAUUGUGUGUAUUAUGACUUAAUUGAAUAGGAACACAAGGUGUCGACUAAGUACUUUUAUAAUGGUUAAUAAAUAAUUGUUAAUCUUAAGGCUCUUGCUUAAAACACUACUAUAUGUGCUUUUUUUGUUUCAAAUGAUAAGUUAGAGUAUUUGUUUCUUUUCCAGCAUGUAUAAAGUUAAAUUUUGUCUCUAUUCCAUAGGUCAAAACUAUGGCUUAGGUACCUUUUUCAUGUGUUCGAGAGACGGCGCUUUAAGUUUACUGUUUCUCUAGUUUAAAUAUCAUAAGAAGAAUGAUGUUAUUAAUUACCUCCAUGUCUAGUUGAAUGAUCUCAUUAUUUAGUAGAUAUUUUAAAGAACCAGCUUUAAACAGAUUUUUGUAUCUAAAGAAUCAUAAAGUUUUGCUGGUUAGAUUUUGUAUACAAGUUGAGAUCGUGCUUAUGGUUGACUUAUCUCAUAGCUUAGCUUGAAUAACGUUUUAACAAAGCGCUAGUGUAUUUAGUCCUUAACUUGUGUAUUUGACUUAUUACAUCUAGUUAAACAUAAGGAAUAUUAUCAUAAUGGUGUUUCUUUGCAAGCAGUUUGAUAUGAUAAAGUUAUAACAACUGUUACUGAGCCUGAAUUUGAAGUCAUAAUUUUUACAUACUUGCGACUAGGAUUAAGAAUGAAGGUUGGGAUUAAAUAGUUCAAAUAUCAAUUUGAUGCCUAAUGACUGUCUUUACAAAGCUAAGUUGAUGUCUAAAUAUGGCUCUAUACAUUUCUUGAAAAGUACAGUAGCUUAGUUACAGUUUCUUUGCUGUUCAUAUUGUAGAGGAUAAUAGCCAUAAUUAGAAGCUAUAUUUUUAGGAUUUUAUUUGAGAGUUUAGAUACCAUGCUCAUAGGUUUAAUGUUUAUUUCUUGGAACUGAAUAGCUUUGCAGGUUUUGAGUAUAAUUUAAGUUUUAUUUUAUAAACUAGAAGUCUCGGAUUAAGAAGUGAAUCUCCAUGAAGUUACAUGUGCAUUAUGUUAUCUGUAAUCUAUAGUUUAUUUCUUAAAAAAGCCCAAACCAUGAGUUAGAUUCUUGGUUUAUGAAUACUCCUGAUAUUCUUGCAUACCAUGUCCUCUGAAAAGUAUAUCAUAUGGCUUUGAUAAAGGAAUGACAUCUGACUCAAACGCGUUGGACUUUGUUGGGCUAAACUCUAUUUUCCUUGGUAUUUUGUUAGAUCUCAAACUUGUUUUUGCCCUUCUCGAAUAUUAAUUUAGUGUCUCAAAUGCAUGCUUAUUUAUUACGACAACAACAACAACCCAAUAUAAUCCCAUUAGUGGGGUCUGAAGAGGGUAGUGUGUACGCAAACCUUACCCUUACCCUGGAGUAAAGAGGCUAUUUCCGAUAGACCCUCGUCCCCCCUCCAAGAACUCCCCACCUUGCUCUUGGGGUGACUUGAACUCACAACCUCUUUGGUUGGAAGUGGAGGGUGCUCACCACUAGAGCAACCCACUCUUGUCAAACAUCGUUUACGUAGAUUACAUAUCUAAUCUUUUUCUCUAUUCUUUGUCUUGCAUAUGCACUUGGAGCAAAAAUGGAGUCUCACCAAUACUACCAAGCAUGGAGUCAUCACAUCCCAUAUCAUCCUCCUUAGAAUGCACCGGAUAGCAAGAAAAAGAAACAAGCGAAACGCUUGGGGGGUGUCUAUGGCAUCCUUUUCUUUUAUUUGUAUCUAAUCUUUUAAUGAUUGUUGAUCUAUUUAUCUGUUUGUUGUUUAUCUCAACUGUGGAUUUAAUCAUCUAGGUUCUCUGCUCUCUAGUAUUUAUAUAAUCUUUAGGCAUUCAAGAUCACUAAUUUAGUAACCC
Molecule: long non-coding RNA, 2564 nt
Filed under: Nicotiana tabacum (common tobacco)
Lineage: Eukaryota; Viridiplantae; Streptophyta; Magnoliopsida; Solanales; Solanaceae
Description: long non-coding RNA (NTAB_LNC000451)
Source: RNAcentral